Molecule: long non-coding RNA, 1630 nt
Filed under: Malus domestica (apple)
Lineage: Eukaryota; Viridiplantae; Streptophyta; Magnoliopsida; Rosales; Rosaceae
Description: long non-coding RNA (MDOM_LNC005561)
Source: RNAcentral
CUGCCAAGUCUAGUUGUUUGAAUGAAAUUUAAAACUAAAACUAAGUAACUUGCAAAAAACAAACUAAUUGAUAUGAAAUUAGGGUGAAUGAAAGGGGUGAAAGGCUAGCUAGAUGGUCAUUCUCCACACAUGACACAUGUGCAUACAAAUCGAUUUCUAGUUAUUCUUCCUAUAAACCAUGAAUGACAAUGCCCCAAGUUAACCGUGAACUGCACAAAUUAACCAUCAGAUUUUUCUAAAUUCAUUGAAUUAGACUCAACAACACAACCAAAUUAUUCUUAUCAAGUUCCCUACAUGAACUGCAUAAUAGAGAUAUAUAUCAAAGAUCAUUAAGUUCUAUGAAAAUCAUAAACAUUGACAAGACAUCCGUAACUAUGAAUUGCAUGAUACUCCUGCCAGGAAUUUACUUAACACGAUCGUGACUAGCAACUUCUACUACUUGUGAAUAUAAGUUCAUAACUAUUAGGUGAAACUCCCUUAUAUUCUAGCAUCAAAUCCCUGCAUGCAAACUAAGUAUGCAUCCUCAAUCAACACACAAGAAUAGGUUAUCUAUCAAACAGAUAAGUAAAUUGCAUUCACAAUUUAUGAAAUAAUAACUGGAUGUAAUCAAUUCAUAUCACGCAUAUGUUCAUGGCUUUGAAUUUUCCUCUAACUAAAACGAAUUUAGUUCCACAUGUUUGCAAUUAAACAAAGACAAUUAAAAUUAAACAUUGAAAACAAAAAAUAGAAUACACCUAGAAACGCUCAAACAAUCUAAAGGUCUUGAAUGGCAGGCACAGCUCUAAGCUUCUUCUCUCCUUCCUUUCUUGCAAAGCUAUGGCACAAUUGUGUAUUUUUCUGAUUUUUUGCUCUUAUGUAUGUGGUGGUUCUGAAUGAUGUGGCAAAGGUGUAUAUAUAGGGCUAGGGCACGGCACCAAGGUUGUAAAGGAAAAUGAUUAGUUGUUAGCAUUGUUUUAGGACUCCUAGAAAUCAGAUAAGAAGUUAUUUAAUAUGAAAAGGAGUCCCCCUUGCAACUGGAAAUAAGGUAGGAUAAGAUUAGGAUAUGAUAAGAUAAGAUACGGUUAGUUUGAGAAAAUAGGACUGGAUAAUGUUCCUUCCUUUUAGUUGAUUCCUUAUCUUCUAUGUCUUGAAUUAAUUUCUUCAACUCUUUAGCACAUUCCUAGCCUCUUUUGAUAUUCAAAAACGUCCAUCCAUUAUGCUCCAUUCAUAUGUUGUCCAUCCCACGCCCAAAACUGCUCUAAAAUGCUCCAAAUUGUCUUUUCUUGCCACUUUUGCCAUUUGGAGCUACAAAUACACGAAAAUGGGUUAAAUCACUAUAAUAAACAUAAACUAACUUGGGUUAGGUUCGAGUUUAAUUGAGUUCGUGUUAGCUUGAGUUCAGCCCAAGAGCUCAACCCACGGGUUCAAUCCACAAAAACUUGUGAAGUUACCAUAGACUUGUGAGUAAGUUCCACCCAUGGGUAAACUUAGACAUGCGAGUUUUCAAAUCCAAGACUUAGUUACAAAUGAAGAAAAAUAUUACUAAAUAAUAGUGCUAAAUGACUUCGAUGACACAAAGGUAUGAACUUUAUAAUAAAUUACACUCUUUGAUUGCACAUGAAGAGGCAUUUUGGAGGCAACGCUUUCAGGA